UUAAAUUGCUGUAGUAUUUUGACUACAUCAAGGUAUUGUAAUAAGAUUUUAAUUGAAUGCUAAAAGAAUGGAAAUUUAAAAAAAAACUUUUUUAAAAAUAAAAAUUGAAUUUUUUUUAAUUUGUGCAAAAACAAUUAUUAUUAUUAAAGACAAGAAGACCCUAAGAAUUUAUGAUUUUGCAAUUAGAAUUUUUUUCUAAAAAUCUUGAUUGGGGCGAUCAAAAAAUAUUAAUAACUUUUUAAAUUUAAAUUGAUCUAUUAUUAAUAAACUAAUGAAUUAAAUACUCUAGGGAUAACAGCGUAAUAAUUUUUGAUAGAUCUUAUUGACAAAAUAGUUUGCGACCUCGAUGUUGGAUUAGGAUCCUUUUUUAAUGAAGAAGUUAAAAAAAGAAGUUUGUUCAACUUUUAAAUUCCUACUUGAUCUGAGUUCAGACCGG
RNAcentral lists this ribosomal RNA (436 nucleotides) under Hyalomma anatolicum. RNAcentral describes it as "partial 16S ribosomal RNA". The stretch from base 291 to 436 matches the Rfam family "Bacterial large subunit ribosomal RNA", at positions 2473 to 2619 of the family's 2925-position model. Lineage: Eukaryota; Metazoa; Arthropoda; Arachnida; Ixodida; Ixodidae. The record is from RNAcentral.